GCAGAGACCCCAACUGACAUCUGGGCCCUGUUCUGCCAGGCGCUGCAGAGACCCCAGGUGCUGUGGAGCCCCCAACUGAGAUCUGCGCCCCUGUUGUGCUGGACACUGCAGAGACCCCACAGACAUCAGGUCGCCCAUUGUGCCAGGUUACAGAAUAACAUCC
Long non-coding RNA from Mauremys mutica (yellowpond turtle), 163 nucleotides. RefSeq lists it as uncharacterized. NCBI's taxonomy places the organism in Eukaryota, Metazoa, Chordata, Testudines, Geoemydidae. The record is from RefSeq and is a predicted model, not a curated record. The transcript is spliced from 3 exons.